UACGAAGGGUGCAAACGUUGCUCGGAAUCACUGGGCGUAAAGCGCACGUAGGCGGCUUCUUAAGUCAGGGGUGAAAUCCUGGAGCUCAACUCCAGAACUGCCUUUGAUACUGAGAAGCUUGAGUCCGGGAGAGGUGAGUGGAACUGCGAGUGUAGAGGUGAAAUUCGUAGAUAUUCGCAAGAACACCAGUGGCGAAGGCGGCUCACUGGCCCGGUACUGACGCUGAGGUGCGAAAGCGUGGGGAGCAAACAGG
Molecule: ribosomal RNA, 253 nt
Filed under: uncultured bacterium
Lineage: Bacteria
Description: partial 16S ribosomal RNA
Rfam family: Bacterial small subunit ribosomal RNA
Source: RNAcentral